Ictalurus punctatus (channel catfish) is the source of this 539-nucleotide long non-coding RNA. The record is from Ensembl. Lineage: Eukaryota; Metazoa; Chordata; Actinopteri; Siluriformes; Ictaluridae.
CCAAGUCCAAGUCAAGUCUCAAGUCUUCGAGGUCCAAGUCAAGUAUGAAGUCUUUAAGGUCCAAGUCCAAGUCAAGUCUCAAGUCUUUGAGGUCCAAGUCAAGUCUCAAGUCUUUGAGGUCCAAGUCAAGUCUGAAGUCUUUAAGGUCCAAGUCCAAGUCAAGUCUCAAGUCUUUGAGGUCCAAGUCAAGUCUGAAGUCUUUAAGGUCCAAGUCCAAGUCAAGUCUCAAGUCUUUGAGGUCCAAGUCAAGUCUGAAGUCUUUAAGGUCCAAGUCCAAGUCAAGUCUCAAGUCUUAGAGGUCCAAGUCCAAGUCAAGUCUCAAGUCUCUGAGGUUCUAUUUUUAUCAGUACUUUCACUUUACCUUCCAUUGUGAGACCUGUGGAAGGCUAAAAGGUGUGGCACUCAAAAAUAACGGUCGCUCUGAACUCAAAUUUUUAUUGGAAAUUCAGUUUGAAGCAAUCUUACAGCAUGACCAGCUGGAUUACUCUCCCUUCAAAGUGCCCUUCGGGGUAGGGUGACCAGAUGCAAACGGACCAAAU